Molecule: ribosomal RNA, 771 nt
Filed under: Niphargus brixianus
Lineage: Eukaryota; Metazoa; Arthropoda; Malacostraca; Amphipoda; Niphargidae
Description: partial 28S ribosomal RNA
Source: RNAcentral
GCUCAGAGUAUAAGCCAAUGGAGCUUGGAAGGCUUCCGCAGAUGGUGUCCAUCAUACGUGGUGUUCUUAAGACCUUGAGUGUGGCUCGUCAGGCGAAGCAUUGAGUUUGCCGGGUUAGUCGUCGUGCGGGGGGUUCGGCCUGGGGGACUUUGGCUUCGGCUGAAGGGUGCUUCAGGCCUCCCCUUUUGAAUGGACGUUCAGAGCUCUUGUGUCUAAUGCGGUUAUGCCCACCACAGCACGUUGUGAGGUCACCCACAGGCUCAAACUGCCGAUCGCGCAUCCAGGACGAUGGCAACGAUGCGUUGUUGAUGAUGACUCGAGAGAGACUUCACUCACACGCGUGUCUAGUCCUGGGUCGGGCGGCGACCGAGAUAAACCUGGUAUGAUCCUCUUGCGACGAGCUGCUUUCUGGCCAGACCGACGCCCAGGCGCCUCCACUGUGCCGGAAGCGUCAACCCCAGGCGGUGUGAACCCAGCUGCAUUUUGCAAGGUCUCUCAGCCGGGCGUUGGUCUGAGUGGUGUUAAGUCCAGCACCAUCGGUCACGUCUCGAAACACGGGCCAAGGAGUAUAGCAUGUGUGCAAGUCUAAGGGUCUCACAAAACCCGAAGGCGAAGUGAAAGCAAGACUGUGGCGGGGGAGCUACGGCAAACCCGCCGGCCUAGUGGCGCGUGCGUCGCCUGGCUUUUAACAGAGCUGAUCCUGUUUUCUCGGUUAAUUCUUGGUGCAGGCGCAAGCUCCGGGCUCACGUACAACACUGGUCACGCCUCGCG